Non-coding RNA from Arachis ipaensis, 305 nucleotides. Lineage: Eukaryota; Viridiplantae; Streptophyta; Magnoliopsida; Fabales; Fabaceae. The record is from RefSeq and is a predicted model, not a curated record.
UAUGGAACCACCAAAUGAUAGCCUUAUGCGCAGAUCCCCAGUUGGCUGAAGGGAAUCUCUUAUAACUAAUGUCAUGUGGAGGAACUUGAUCAUACAGGCUAUCUAUCAAGUGACCAUUCUUCUCAUUCUUAAUUUCGGUUGGCAAAGUAUUAAUCUAGGUGAUGAUCAAGAUUCUAAAUCUCACUCCUUACAAGUGAAGAAUACUUUAAUAUUCAACACAUUCGUUCUAUGCCAAAUAUUUAACGAGUUUAAUGCUAGAAAAAUAGAUCAAAUGAAUGUCUUCAAGGGAGUGACUAAAUCGUCUC